UACGGGGGGAGCAAGCGUUGUUCGGAUUUACUGGGCGUAAAGGGCGCGUAGGCGGCCAGCACAAGUCAGUUGUGAAAUCUCCGAGCUUAACUCGGAAAGGUCAACUGAUACUGUGCGGCUAGAGUGCGGAAGGGGCAACUGGAAUUCUUGGUGUAGCGGUGAAAUGCGUAGAUAUCAAGAGAAACACCUGCGGCGAAGGCGGGUUGCUGGGCCGACACUGACGCUGAUGCGCGAAAGCUAGGGGAGCGAACGGG
This 254-nucleotide ribosomal RNA is filed under the name uncultured bacterium. Its description in RNAcentral is "partial 16S ribosomal RNA". It matches the Rfam family "Bacterial small subunit ribosomal RNA", at positions 524 to 776 of the family's 1533-position model. The record is from RNAcentral.